RNAcentral lists this ribosomal RNA (372 nucleotides) under uncultured Desulfobulbus sp. RNAcentral describes it as "bacterial SSU rRNA". It matches the Rfam family "Bacterial small subunit ribosomal RNA", at positions 1014 to 1382 of the family's 1533-position model. Lineage: Bacteria; Pseudomonadati; Thermodesulfobacteriota; Desulfobulbia; Desulfobulbales; Desulfobulbaceae. The record is from RNAcentral.
CUUCCAUCUGGAAGAAUCUGGAGACAGGUGCUGCAUGGCUGUCGUCAGCUCGUGUCGUGAGAUGUUGGGUUAAGCCCCGCAACGAGCGCAACCCUUGCCUUUAGUUUGCCAGCAGUUCGGCUGGGCACUCUAAAGGGACUGCCGGUGUUAAACCGGAGGAAGGUGGGGAUGACGUCAAGUCCUCAUGGCCUUUAUGACCAGGGCUACACACGUACUACAAUGGCCGAUACAAAGGGCAGCGACACUGCGAGGUGAAGCCAAUCCCGUAAAAUCGGUCUCAGUCCGGAUUGGAGUCUGCAACUCGACUCCAUGAAGUUGGAAUCGCUAGUAAUCGUGGAUCAGCAUGCCACGGUGAAUACGUUCCCGGGCCUU